Paramormyrops kingsleyae is the source of this 2408-nucleotide long non-coding RNA. RefSeq lists it as uncharacterized. NCBI's taxonomy places the organism in Eukaryota, Metazoa, Chordata, Actinopteri, Osteoglossiformes, Mormyridae. The record is from RefSeq and is a predicted model, not a curated record.
CAUGCUGUCCAUCACGGUUAACCAGCAGCUGAUACACCGGCUCCAGCUCCUGAGAUAUCUUUCCCAUAGGCAAGCGUGAAGAGCUGCCGUCCGUGACGCAGUGGCUUCCUCGUGUGAGUUAUCUCCUUCUGCCGGUCAUGUCCUUCUCUGCCCUGGACAUAUUUCUUUGAAGGCGCAUUUUUUGACACUUCCCGUAGCUCAGUCUCCAUCAAGAGGCAUACAUGCAGCUGCCUGUCCUGGUCAGGGGGUCCACAGUCUGUCCCAGAAGCUACAGGCAGGGAAUAACCCAGGAUGGGGCACCAACCCAUCACCGGGCAGACUCGCCAUUCUGAAUUUGAAUUUCCCCCUGGGAUCAGUAAAGCCCAUCUUAAUCUGAACUGCUUAUCCAGUACAGGGUCACGGUGAUCCUGGGGGCUGUCCUGGGCAAUACAGGUCACAAGGCAGGGGAUACCUGGGACAUUGUUUUAGUCUCUCACAGAAUGCAUCUUUUUGCACUCUGUGAAGGUCCCCAUACAAACUCCAAUCCAGACAAACACAAAUCCAGAGCUCUGAAGUGUGAGAUACAUGACUCUUUCAUCUUCCAGUCACUAUAAUUGUUUAGGUUUUUGGCAUACCUAUGGCUUUCAUGUCAUCGCAUUUUCUUGUAUCUGUUUUCCCACAAUGGCAUAUUUCAAAGACUACAGUGAGAUGGGAAGAAGAAGAAGAAGACAAUGACAGUAGGUGAGAGCUGGAUUUCAGUUUAGUUGAUGUUUACUAUGCUGUAUGAAAUAAGUGCUGAUGUAGUGAAAUGGAAAAGUACAAUAUUUUAUUUAUGUAGCACAGUAGAAUUCUCAGGGCAGGUGGAAGGGACUCGUGAAGAAUGUGAAUUAAAUCUAGGCAUAUCGAAUUUUUAGACACUCUUGAUAAGAUCUAGCUAUUCAAAGAAACUUUCCUGUCAGAAAAACCUCUAAAAUGUUUUUUCAACAAAAUGCAAGCAGAAAUAUCCAUCGAUAGUGCUUGGGCCAUUUCAAGCAUUUGUGCCAGCUUGCCUUAAUAAUAGUCUAAUUUGUGUGCCAGUGUCAAAGCUAUAUGAAAAUAUAGUUCAUUGUAUUUAAUGAGGAUGAAUUUUGAACUAGAUAACUUUAAUAAAGUCCCAGAUAAACUGGAUUCCAAAGAGUACAACUGUUUUACAAAGGCCACAGUGUAUGAAUAAUCCAAUAAUAAAAAUUUCAGAUAAAUGCAUAAUUUUCAGUACUUACCAGCUAUUCACCAGUAGGUUACCUGGUCCUGGACAAGGAUUAUUUCAGCCAAUGCACACCCCAGAUUGAAUGUUUCAACUAUCCUGCUUGAGACCAACUUAAAAUUCUACCAGCGUAAAGUCUACCGAAAUUUGUACUAAUUGUCUAAUCGUCAAUGUUUAUUCUUAGUCCUUGACUUGUUGUUGACUCAGCAGUUACACUCAGUGGUUACAUUAUUAAGUACACUUGUUUGUUAAUGCAAACAAUGCAUUCCUCCAAACCGAAUUAUGUCACUGAAUAUACAGCAUGCGGGCUCAGCCAAGAGCUUCACUUAUUGUUUGACUAAGCGUUAGAAGUGCUAAGAUGCUUAAUAUUAAGCAAUUUUGAACAUGCUCGACCAGUUGUGGUGGUUCUAGUACCUCAGACGCAGCCAUUCUCUUGGUAUUUUCAUGCACUACAAAUUCUGGACCUUACAGAGAAAGGAGUGAUGAAUAAAAAAAAGAAAACAUUCUGCUGGCAUUUCUCUGGCAAAUAACACCUUGUUAAUGAGAGGUCAGAGGAGAAUUCCCAGACUCAUUAAAGCUAACAGACAGACAACAAGUGCAGAAAGAGCAGUUCGGUACCACAGUUGUGUAGAGAAUAGUUUCUUAGAACGCACAACUCAUCUGCUUUUGAAGCCGUUCUAGAGGAUAAAAUAUGUUUUCUGCCUGGUACUAAAUUGGUGUAUGUAAUAAAUUGGCCAUCAUGUGUAUUGUAGUAGUGACCAUUUGUAUGCCAUAGUUGUAAGUCCAUUCCAUCCCACUUUUGACUGUAAAUUGGAUUAUCAAUAUCUACAUCCAUCCAUCCAUCCAUCCAUUUUCCAUAAUGGUUUAUCCAAUAUAGCAUAACAGUGAACUUGUUGUAUUGUUUUAAUUCUAUGUAUAUAUGCAUCUAUAAAUAGCCAUUUUCUUCAUACUAAAUCCAGUUACUUCAGUGUAACACCGCUGUAGCCAAUGGAUAGCUGCUAAUACAUCAAACAGUGGGAAAGAGUUGAUCAAUGUUUUUUCAGCACUGUGUUGAUAGCAAAAAAGCUACAGUAGGUACUUGUUUAGUCCCCCUCCCCCCCAGUUAGCAUGGAACCAGUAAAAUAGGUCGUGUCAGUUCACUAAGUUUGAUUUGUUACAGGCAGACAGCUUUCCACUUGCACCCAAA